GCAUGUGACCAACCUGCCGGCAGCAGCCUGUGGUUUACUCAACCACCAAUUACUGUGUGUGUACCUCCAUCAGCCGACUGUCACAGAAGCUCGGCCCGCUGACUCACUCUGAGUUAAUGUGGUGCUGCUGAAUUAUCUGAUCUCCACAGGACCUGAAAAUAUGCAGAGAACCUGGAGGGAACCUGGAGGGAACCUGGGGGGAAGAAGAGCCGCUGGAACCUGAAUCCUGAGAGCAGGACCUGACAGCUUCUGUGACUCGCCGUGACUCACUUUGAAGCAUGUGCCUAAUGAUUUUUGUAGAAAGUCUAAUAUAUUUAUUUAUUUAUGUUUAUUUAUAAGCAUAAGACUGUAUUUUGUAACCAUUUCCCCAAAAAGGCUGCUGAAAAAACACUUAA
This is a long non-coding RNA of Solea senegalensis (Senegalese sole), 395 nucleotides long. RefSeq lists it as uncharacterized. The record is from RefSeq and is a predicted model, not a curated record. Lineage: Eukaryota; Metazoa; Chordata; Actinopteri; Pleuronectiformes; Soleidae. The transcript is spliced from 3 exons.